UACGUAGGGUGCGAGCGUUAAUCGGAAUUACUGGGCGUAAAGAGCGUGUAGGCGGUCCGGUAAGUCAGCUGUGAAAGUCAAGGGCUCAACCCUUGAAUGCCGGUUGAUACUGUCGGGCUAGAGUCCGGAAGAGGCGAGUGGAAUUCCCGGUGUAGCGGUGAAAUGCGCAGAUAUCGGGAGGAACACCAAUGGCGAAGGCAGCUCGCUGGGACGGUACUGACGCUGAGACGCGAAAGCGUGGGGAGCAAACAGG
RNAcentral lists this ribosomal RNA (253 nucleotides) under uncultured bacterium. Its description in RNAcentral is "partial 16S ribosomal RNA". It matches the Rfam family "Bacterial small subunit ribosomal RNA", at positions 524 to 776 of the family's 1533-position model. The record is from RNAcentral.